This 734-nucleotide ribosomal RNA is filed under the name uncultured bacterium. RNAcentral describes it as "bacterial SSU rRNA". It matches the Rfam family "Bacterial small subunit ribosomal RNA", at positions 771 to 1501 of the family's 1533-position model. The record is from RNAcentral.
AACAGGAUUAGAUACCCUGGUAGUCCACGCCGUAAACGAUGAGUGCUAAGUGUUAGGGGGUUUCCGCCCCUUAGUGCUGGAGCAAACGCAUUAAGCACUCCGCCUGGGGAGUACGGCCGCAAGGCUGAAACUCAAAGGAAUUGACGGGGACCCGCACAAGCGGUGGAGCAUGUGGUUUAAUUCGAAGCUACGCGAAGAACCUUACCAGGUCUUGACAUCCCAUUGGCCGGUAUAGAGAUAUACCUUUCCCUUCGGGGACAAUGGUGACAGGUGGUGCAUGGUUGUCGUCAGCUCGUGUCGUGAGAUGUUGGGUUAAGUCCCGUAACGAGCGCAACCCUUGAUCUUAGUUGCCAGCAUUAAGUUGGGCACUCUAAGGUGACUGCCGGUGAUAAACCGGAGGAAGGUGGGGAUGACGUCAAAUCAUCAUGCCCCUUAUGACCUGGGCUACACACGUGCUACAAUGGAUGAUACAGAGGGUUGCCAAGCCGCGAGGUGGAGCCAAUCCCAUAAAAUCAUUCCCAGUUCGGAUUGCAGGCUGCAACUCGCCUGCAUGAAGCCGGAAUCGCUAGUAAUCGUGGAUCAGCAUGCCACGGUGAAUACGUUCCCGGGUCUUGUACACACCGCCCGUCACACCACGAGAGUUUGUAACACCCGAAGUCGGUGAGGUAACCCUUAGGGGAGCCAGCCGCCGAAGGUGGGACAGAUGAUUGGGGUGAAGUCGUAACAAGGUAACC